CUCAGACGAAGGUGCAGGCCACCCUCAGCCAGGUUUUCACUAAGGCUCUAGACCUUUCUAUAGCCUGUAAAAAACCUGGCUCCUCCUAGAAGACGAUUCGGGGGCUUGCGGCCAAAGACCCAAUUAGGAGUAUAAUUUAUUCCCCUGCAUGUAUAUCUAUGUGCAUCUCCCUCAGGGUUUAUCUUCAUAGUAGGGGCUUGCUCAAAGAUUUGGGGUUCUUGGUUGGGACCCCCAAGUAUGAUCUCAGCGUGAACAACGACGGAGUCAGCUCUCCGCAUCCAUCCCGGUGCGUCUCCCUCCUGGAGUCUGUCAAUGCGCCAGGGCUGCGGAGAGAGAGGUGAGGACUGACGGACUGGUGAGAGGCCCCUGCGAGGGAGAGCUGGGAGAGCAGACCGCGGGGGAGGCCACCUCCCCCAGAGGCAGGCAGCGGAUGCGGGGACGUGAGGAGCGCUUCUGCCAGCGAGCCAGCGAGUGAGGACAGGGGAAUCAAUCACUGCCAGCCUGGUGACACCACCACAGCUCCUCCUGUCAGCGGGGCUGGCCUCUCCUCACCUACGCCGGGAGAGGGAAGUCCGGACGUGGCCUGGGCGGGUGGGGUGAGUGCCAGGGCAGUGCCUCGCCAAGGCUGCAAUCUCGCCCUGCUGCCUCUCCAGCACACUCGGGGCUUGUUUAAGUAGAUUCGCCCGUGCCCAAAGUAUCAACCAGAGUAAAACAAAACCCCUACAAAUGACUGAGCUCCCUAUUCAGGAAAAGGGGCAGGGCUGCAGGGUUCUAUCUCCAUGGCACCAUUUUUGGUCAAUGGGGAAUCAAGGCAUAUUACUGGGAAAAUUCAUUCAUUCAUUUCGUGUUUAUUAUUUACCUAUUUUGUAAAAGAAGGGGGUAUUCCAGGAGAUGAGACAGACUAAGAAAAACCAGAGUGUGUUUUGGUGACAGCAAAGUUUAGCUGGCGUUUGGAGAAAAUGAAUAGUAGAAAUAGUUAGAAAGGGUAGGGAGUCUGGAGCUUGGAUUCUAUUUUAAUUCCUUGGGCAAAUGGAAGCCACUGAAGAUUUUUUGUUGCUGUCAUCGUUGUUUUUGAGAUAUUAUUGACAUGCAGUAAAAUCCAUCCUUUUUAGUGUUCUGAGUUUUGCAAAUGUAUAUAGACGUGUAAACACCCCCACCUCAAGGUGUAGAAUGUUCCCAUCGCGCCACAGAGUUCCUUACGUCUCCUCGCAGUCAGCCCUUCCCCACAGUAGCCCCUCAUAACUGUUCUCUAUUGCUAUCGUUUUGCCUUUUCCAGAAUGUUCUAUAAAAUGGAAUCAUACGGCAAGUAGCUUCUAGAGUCUGAUUUCUUCCACUUAGCACAACAUGUUUGAGAUUCAUCCGUGUGUCUGUGAGUGUCAAUAGUCCGUCCGUUUCUCGCUCAGUGGUACUUUAUUGUGUGGAUCUUUAUCCAGUCAUCGGCUGAAGGGCGUUUGGGUUAUUUCCAGUUUUUGGUGAUUAUGAAUAAACCCACUAACUACCUUCAUGUACAGGUUUGUGUGUGAACGUAAGUUUUCAAUUCACUUGGGCAAAUAUCUAAGCAUAUAAGAGUAAGAUUGCUAGGUCAAAUUUUAGCUUUAUUAAAAAAAUAAAAAUUAAAAAACCCUGCCAAACUGUUUUCUAAAGCAGCUGUGGUGUUUUGCGUUCUCCCCAGCAGUAUAGGGAACUUCCAGGGAACUUCUGCUUAUUCCACAUCCUCACCAGCACUUGGUAUCAUAUUUUUUAUUUUUAGCUGUCCUAAUAGGUGUGUUGUGGAAUCUCAUUGUGGUUUUAAUCUGUGUUUCCCCGAUGACUAAUGCUGUUGAGCACCUUUUGGUGUGUUCACUUGCUGUUCUCAUACAUCUUUGGGUGAAAGAUCUUUUCAGAUCCACUGAAAUGCAUUUAGGAAUGCAUUUAGGAAGAUCUUCCUGGCAGCAGAGCAUGGCCUGGCUGCUCAGGGUGUUGAAGGAAGACCAGCAGCCCCUGCAUCUCCCAGGAACUUCUCAGAAAUGCAGCACCGUGGCCUUAUCCCAACAAGAUCUCCAGGCUCUGUGCAGACAAGAGCCCUUUGCUCCUGCUGGGACUGGCGUGCUCAGCAAACCUGACAGACAACGUGCAAAAUCAGAGUGCUUCCAGCAAAGCGGGGCGAGAACAAGGACGAGGAGGAGAUAAGAAGCAAACAGCUGCAGAAGAUCAGUGGAGAAACUCAGGCUCUUGGUGGAAAUAUGACACAGGGUGGCCAAGGACACUGCUGGGUUUCUGUGCAGUUGGCCUUGAGUGGAUGGCCUGAUGAGGCUUUUUAUCACCUUGGUCUUCGGAUGCAUCUCCACCAUGACCACAGCAGUGAGGCCCCUUCCACGCCUCUGGGUACAGCCUUCGGGAGCCCCUGAGAAGGAGUGCAUGGACUAGGGGGUGGGAGCUGACUCCAGAGAGGUGGGCAGGCCGGGAUCACAGAGCAUCUUGGCUGCACAGCCCAGGAAUCUGACUUACGUCCUGUUAGGCAACAGGCAGCCAGCCACGGGCUUGAGGCAGGAAAGCGGAAUGAUAUGAUGGGUGUUUCAGACACUUCUUUCACAGCUGUGUGGAGGAUAAGCUCCUUGCUAAGAUAAAGGAAACAUGGGCUAAUUUUCUUCUUAAAUGUACUAUAUUUUCCAAGUCAAGCCUAAAUCACUGACUUUGCUUUUCUCCGUGUAUGUUUGAUUUGAUCUCUAUAAAAGGUUAAGGAAAACUUUUAUUAUCUUAAGCCUUUGAUGAGGCCCUGAUUUGUCCUCUCCCCGCCAUGUGAAGCAGAGCACGGAGGAGUAAGGCAACUUUCCCAAGUUCGUGCAGUGGGUUCUUGGCACAACCAGGGAGGAUUUCACGGUCUGGAUUCUCAGAAUUGUGCUCUAACUGGAUCCUGCUGCGAGUCACCCACACUCACACUUACCUCCUAAAAAGUCACUUUCAACUGAGAAGAAGAGAGAUUAUGCCCAAGCUUUGGAAACUUGGCUCUGAGUCGAGGUCCCACGUUCGACUUUUGCUGAUCGCUGCCUCAGUUUCCUUCUGUGUCACCAGUCUUGCAUUGUCAAUGUUUCUCAGUGAGUUUCCCAUCAGUGCCUUCACUGCAUUAUAAAUGUAAACACCACCAAAGUUGACCUUGAGCCCAGCAUGACUCUGAGGCCCCAAAGAAACCUUCCUUAGGAACUGUGAGGAGUAAACAAAUGUUGAAUAGAGAAGUCAAUGUUGACUGCCUUCUCUUCUGACAUCUCCCAUGUACCUCUUCCUUUACUAUGAGAAUUGGUUUCAGACCCAGGAGGAUGUCAGCAGUGUCCUAACUGGCUCAGAGCUGUGAUGGCUGCUUCAUGGUCCGCCCCACUGCCCUCUAUCCCCAGAGCAUGCCCGGCAGGAAGAACCUGUGUGUUCAGGAUGUUCAUGAGGCUGCAUUUAUAGUGUACUGCAGAUUUCAUGUAAAUAUUUCUGUCAUUUGAAGUAGAGAAUGAUAUACCAUAUAUCCCUUUAAUUAAUUGAUCUCAAGCUAUGCUAUUCCCAAAGGCAACAUAAAUGUCCUUCAUACAAAAGGCUUCCAAACUGUCCAGUGACACACACAUGUUUCUGUCUGGCUUUGCUCUUUCCAUCAUGCAGUCGAGUCCUUUGCUUCUAGCCCAUCUCUCAUGUACCUACCCUUUAGUCCUCUGAGGAAAAUCACAACAACCCAGGUGAAAACCCUGAGGUCACACAAGUAAACAAAGUUUGAGCUUUUUUAAACAGGAUGUUGUUGGAUUCAAAUUGGACUUUGGGCUAAGAGGAAUGAACAGUGCCUUUUACUGCAACCCUAGGCAUCCAGGGAAAAGUACAGCAGACUUGAAAGGAACCAAGCUGCAGGCAAGUUAGGACAUUUCCAAAAAAAAUAGAAAAUAGAAAUCUGUUUGUACUUUUGGAGCAUCAACGAGUAAGCUAUUUUCAGUUAGGUUAGUAAAAGCAUGUUUAAACCUGUUUGCAGAGACAGGCUCAUAAAACAUCCUCGCCAGAAAGCAGAGACAGGAGUCGGGGGAGGUGGCAGUCCCUGUAUUUUCCCUUAGUGAACUGAGUGUUGUCCCAACAGGCAACAGGAUACAACAUUUGCCUUGGUCUGAAUGAAGCCCUGAACAGUGCAGCCGGUGCUGUAUUUCAUCGUGACACCAACUGGCCCCUAUUCUCCAAGCUCAACAUCCCCCUUCUCUCUAAAUGAAACCUAGCCUGGAACAAGGCUGUGCUUACAAGAGAACUCACAAUCAGC
Molecule: long non-coding RNA, 4252 nt
Organism: Equus caballus (horse)
Lineage: Eukaryota; Metazoa; Chordata; Mammalia; Perissodactyla; Equidae
Source: Ensembl